Molecule: ribosomal RNA, 459 nt
Filed under: uncultured bacterium
Lineage: Bacteria
Description: partial 16S ribosomal RNA
Rfam family: Bacterial small subunit ribosomal RNA
Source: RNAcentral
CCUACGGGAGGCAGCAGUGAGGAAUAUUGGUCAAUGGGCGGAAGCCUGAACCAGCCAAGUAGCGUGCGGGAUGAAGGCCCUACGGGUCGUAAACCGCUUUUGCCCGGGGAUAACACCCUCCACUUGUGGCGGUCUGCAGGUACCGUGCGAAUAAGGGCCGGCUAAUUCCGUGCCAGCAGCCGCGGUAAUACGGAGGGCCCGAGCGUUAUCCGGAUUCAUUGGGCUUAAAGGGAGCGUAGGCGGUCGGUCAAGUCAGCGGUAAAAGCGCGCGGCUCAACCGCGCCCCGCAGUUGAAACUGGACGCCUUGAGGUCACGACAGGCAGGCGGAAUUCGUGGUGUAGCGGUGAAAUGCAUAGAUAUCGCGAGGAACCCCGAUUGCGAAGGCAGCCUGCCGGGGUGCGACUGACGCUGAGGCUCGAAGGUGCGGGUAUCAAACAGGAUUAGAUACCCUAGUAGUC